Molecule: ribosomal RNA, 674 nt
Filed under: uncultured bacterium
Lineage: Bacteria
Description: bacterial SSU rRNA
Rfam family: Bacterial small subunit ribosomal RNA
Source: RNAcentral
ACUGCAGUCGAACGGGAUUUCGGUUAGCAAUAAUUGAAUGAGAGUGGCGCACGGGUGCGUAACACGUAUGCAACCUACCUAUAACUGGGGGAUAGCCUCCCGAAAGGGAGAUUAACACCGCAUAACAUUAUGAAGUGGCAUCACUUUAUAAUUAAAUCUACGGAGGUUAUAGAUGGGCAUGCGUCCGAUUAGCUAGUUGGUGAGGUAACGGCUCACCAAGGCUCCGAUCGGUAGGGGGUCUGAGAGGAUGAUCCCCCACACUGGUACUGAGACACGGACCAGACUCCUACGGGAGGCAGCAGUAAGGAAUAUUGGACAAUGGGCGCAAGCCUGAUCCAGCCAUGCCGCGUGAAGGAUGAAGGCCCUAUGGGUCGUAAACUUCUUUUAUACGGGACAAAACCCCCCGAUGCGUCGGGGGUUGAUGGUACUGUAAGAAUAAGGGUCGGCUAACUUCGUGCCAGCAGCCGCGGUAAUACGAAGGACCCGAGCGUUAUCCGGAUUUAUUGGGUUUAAAGGGUGCGUAGGCGGAUUAGUAAGUCAGUGGUGAAAGCCCAUCGCUUAACGGUGGAAUUGCCAUUGAUACUGCUAGUCUUGAGUAUGGUUGAGGUGGGCGGAAUGUGUCAUGUANCGGUGAAAUGCUUAGAUAUGACCCAGAACACCAAUUGCGAAGGCAG